CUGAGUGUGACUCCUGGCUCCUCAGGUCAUCCAGGGCUCCAAGCUGUCCCGGAUAAGGAAGGACGCCGGGUACCGGCGGUCUGGGACCAAGAACGCCAGCGCUCAGCUUUACGCGUUGCUCUCCGCAGCCACCGCGCACGCGCAGCUACCCUGCCAAGGAGGGGGCGGGGAGUGGGAGGGGUGGGUAUCGCCCGGGCCAAUCCGAAGCGAGAGCCCCCGCCCUCCGGGCCGGUGGACUGAGCUUGACCCCGGCGGUGGGCGGAGGAGGCGGGGCCAGCCGUGUGGCCGCGGAGGGGGCGGGGCCCGGGGCCUGGAGGCGGGGCCUGGGGCUGUCAGUCCCGCGCCCGCCGCCACUGCCGCCGCCGCCGCCGCGGUUCCUUACAUGCGGUGGCCCCGGUGGCUGCCAGCGCUGUCGCCCGUCGCCCGCCGCCUCGGCAUCCCGAGCCGCCUCUCGCCGUGCCGCCCUGGCGCGCAGGUGUUCAUGAAAAAAUGCACAAAAUCCUGACUGGCCGGAAUAAUUCAUGAAGAAGGGGCUGGAUCCGUGGGUCAGAGAACACAGGACCAGUUUGCCAUCCCAAGGCCGAAGGAAGAAGAAGCGACAUUGGGGGGCAGUGAACAGGACAAAGGCCGUGUGAGGACACGAGAGAAGACGGCUGCCUAUAAGUCAAGCAGACAGGCCUCAGGAGAAACCCACCCUGCCCGCACCCCGACCUUCGACUUGCGGCCUGCAGAACUGUGAGAAAAUAAAUGUCUGUUGGUCUGGUGUCUCGGAUUUGACCCUGCGUUGCCCACUCCUGCUGGAUCUUGUCCAGUCGAGGGACAAAACGUCCUGACACCCUCCUGAAGAAUGGGAAGAAAGGAGAUUCUGGAAGCACAGAUUGCAAUACCAUGCUAGAGGCCGAGGAGACCGACGCGAAGGGAUUGCUCCCACACCAACAGGAGCCCUGAGGACGACUGGAGCUGGAGGCACGCAGGCCCAAGAAGGGUGGAAAUGCCAGCAGUGACCAAGAGCCACCCACAGCGGUUCCCGAGCAGUCUGUCCAGGAUCCACCGAAUGGAGGGCACACGGCAGGUCUCUCUCACUUGGCAACUGCAACUUUGCAACCUGGAACAAAGGCCAGAAAAGCCCAAGAAGGAGCACAAGUCCAAGAGCUUUCAGAGUAACCUUGAGAAAAUUGUCUACUGAAUGGUGACCCGUUCUGCCACUGGAUAUUGGGAGAAGAGACGUUCCCUCGCACGUUGGAUCCCAUCAUACCUGGAUGCCAUUCCUCACAGACUUUGAAGAUUUUAUAUCCACCUUUAAGCAUGCUCUUCCUGUUUCAGCUCUAGGAGUUCUGGUUAACAUUCUCUAUGAGAAAAUGUUCACUUUUUCUCCCUUCGAGUUCUGGAUUAAACUGUCUUACCUGGAGCUGGGUCAGUUGAGGCUAGAGGCACCUCCACACAGUCCUGUUUCUCAGAAGUUGCCAGGUUCAUGUCAUACUUGUUUCAUUUGCGAACAGGGGUCCUCCUCUGACAGAUGCUAUCUGGCCUGGUCAGUGUGGCUCCUGGUCUGCUCUUUGGUGCCUUUCUCUCCUCCCCGUCCCAGGUGAGACUCACCCAGCGGUGACCCUGCGUCUCCUGGUGAGGACCACAUUUGCGGUGGAUGUGCUUUGGCUGGAUGUGUGAGAGAAAGCGUGGUCUGAUGGAACCAACAUCUUUGUAAAUUUGGAGGUGACUGGAGCACGGCUGCAUCCCGGGGAAAGGGAGCUUUAGGGGAGGCCAGUCCUUACCUCAGUGUUCCACCUGGCUCCACCCUCGUAACGCUUACUCUCAUCUUUUUAGUGUCUGUUCUGAUUUAGGGUAGUUAUUCUUUUCUUUAUUCGAUUAAAAGUAACUUUGGUUGUUAUUUUUUAUUUUUGCAAAUCACAUGCUUAUUACAAAAACAGCAAAAAUAUAGUCAGGUAAAAGAGGAAAAAACAAGCCUAAAUCCUACUUACCCCAAAGACAACCAUUGAGAUUCUGUUGAAGAGCCUUCCAGAUCCCUUUCUAGGCAUACCGUAUCGUGGAUAGAUAGAUAGAUAGAUAGAUAGAUAGAUAGAUAGAUAAAUGUAACUGUAAUGUCACAAUUCCACAUAUAUUCUUUGAUAACACACAUUGUCAUUUAAUGUGUUAUCAUGAACAGCUUUCUAUAUCCACAAGCUUUUUUUAAUGAUAAUACCUUUAAUUACAUAAGCGAAAACUUAGACUGAAAAUGUAACAUAAUUUGCAAA
This is a long non-coding RNA of Equus asinus (donkey), 2249 nucleotides long. Lineage: Eukaryota; Metazoa; Chordata; Mammalia; Perissodactyla; Equidae. The record is from Ensembl.